GAUGAACGCUGGCGGCGUGCCUAAUACAUGCAAGUCGAGCGAACAGACGAGGAGCUUGCUCCUUCGACGUUAGCGGCGGACGGGUGAGUAACACGUAGGUAACCUACCUAUAAGACUGGGAUAACUUCGGGAAACCGGAGCUAAUACCGGAUAAUAUUUCGAACCGCAUGGUUCGAUAGUGAAAGAUGGCUUUGCUAUCACUUAUAGAUGGACCUGCGCCGUAUUAGCUAGUUGGUAAGGUAACGGCUUACCAAGGCAACGAUACGUAGCCGACCUGAGAGGGUGAUCGGCCAGACGGGAACUGAGACACGGUCCAGACUCCUACGGGAGGCAGCAGUAGGGAAUCUUCCGGGAUGGGCGAAAGCCUGACGGAGCAACGCCGCGUGAGUGAUGAAGGUCUUCGGAUCGUAAAACUCUGUUAUUAGGGAAGAACAAACGUGUAAGGAACUGUGCACGUCUUGACGGUACCUAAUCAGAAAGCCACGGCUAACUACGUG
This 497-nucleotide ribosomal RNA is filed under the name uncultured bacterium. RNAcentral's name for it is "partial 16S ribosomal RNA". It matches the Rfam family "Bacterial small subunit ribosomal RNA", at positions 28 to 507 of the family's 1533-position model. The record is from RNAcentral.